GAUGAACGCUAGCUACAGGCUUAACACAUGCAAGUCGAGGGGCAGCAUGGUCUUAGCUUGCUAAGGCCGAUGGCGACCGGCGCACGGGUGAGUAACGCGUAUCCAACCUGCCUUACACUCUUGGACAGCCUUCUGAAAGGGAGAUUAAUACAAGAUGUUAUCAUGAGUAAGCAUUUUCGCAUGAUUAAAGGUUUAUCGGUGAUGGAUGGGGAUGCGUCUGAUUAGCUUGUUGGCGGGGUAACGGCCCACCAAGGCGACGAUCAGUAGGGGUUCUGAGAGGAAGGUCCCCCACAUUGGAACUGAGACACGGUCCAAACUCCUACGGGAGGCAGCAGUGAGGAAUAUUGGUCAAUGGGCGCGAGCCUGAACCAGCCAAGUAGCGUGGAGGACGACGGCCCUACGGGUUGUAAACUCCUUUUAUAAGGGGAUAAAGUUGGCCAUGUAUGGCCAUUUGCAGGUACCUUAUGAAUAAGCAUCGGCUAAUUCCGUGCCAG
RNAcentral lists this ribosomal RNA (494 nucleotides) under uncultured bacterium. RNAcentral describes it as "bacterial SSU rRNA". It matches the Rfam family "Bacterial small subunit ribosomal RNA", at positions 28 to 511 of the family's 1533-position model. The record is from RNAcentral.